Non-coding RNA from Hydra vulgaris (swiftwater hydra), 1172 nucleotides. NCBI's taxonomy places the organism in Eukaryota, Metazoa, Cnidaria, Hydrozoa, Anthoathecata, Hydridae. The record is from RefSeq and is a predicted model, not a curated record.
GAUGUAUUUUUAUUUUCUUUCUUUAAACAAUCAUGCGCGCGUUUCCACUUUAUAUUAAAUGUUUGUUUUUGUUGUUUGUUGUAAUACUUCUGCUUUAAAGUUGUACUUUUUAUCUAAAGAAUUGAGUAAUUGUGUUAUAUUAGGUUAAUUGUGUAUCACAUUAUGCUUACCACAACGAUAGCAAUUGUUAAUAAUUGUUUUGAUUUUUGUUAAAUGUUUUUGAAUAUUUAUCUGAUAAAUUCAGAUAGGUUUACUUAGAUAUUCUUUUGUUUUUAUCUGUGGCUGAAGGUAUUCGGGUUGCAUGUAAAUAAACAGAAUUAUUGUAUUUGUCGAUCUUUGAGUAUAUAAACUAAAUUUAAAACGAAUAUUUUUAUUAUAAGGUUGCAUGCUUUUAAGGUAUUUUUGCACGUUUGCAUGCGUCUAAGGCAUUUACGUCUAAAUAUGUUCCACUAGUGACUAUACUCACUUAUUCUAGUUGCGAACCUGAUAUGUAAAGAGAACAUGAUAAGACUGGACUGAGCGAGACUAAGAACCAUUAUUUACGAACACACAGAUUCAAAGCAAUAAAAACACUAAAUGACACAUAAAACUUUAACGUUUAGAACAAUACAAACACAAAACACAAUAACUUACAGAACACUGCAACAACACGUACUUAAAUCUAACAUGACCACCACUUACUUAACUCAAACUUAAUUACUGAAUAGUACCCUUCUUUUAAACAACAACUCUUAAUUCUGGACAUCUGUCCAAAUAUUAUAAUUUAUCUUGCACUUCCUUGCACUUAUAUAAAAUAUUUCUUGCUUCUCUUAAGACUAUUACGGCCUGAUGGUUCCAUAUAAGUGGUGGAACUUUAAUAGCUUCCACUGCGAAACAAUAACGAUUGAUUUGUUUUAAAACAAUUUGUUGCAGCUUUUUUUUAAAUUACAUUUUUUUAUACAAUAACAGUCAAAAUAAGCGGUAAACAAGAAUGAAUUUAACAACAUUCAGAUCUCACCUUCAGAUCUUACCUUUAAUAUUUUUUCGAUUUUAGAUUAUUUUCCGUAAACCUGAUGGCGAAUAUGAACAUUAAAGGGAGUAAACGUAAAGGCAGAGAAAACAAAAUAUCGUUUGAAAACCUUAAGUUAAAGGACGUUAUGUUUGAAGCGUUACAAGACAGGUAUACCGUUAGU